RNAcentral lists this ribosomal RNA (125 nucleotides) under Propithecus coquereli (Coquerel's sifaka). Lineage: Eukaryota; Metazoa; Chordata; Mammalia; Primates; Indriidae. The record is from RNAcentral.
GUCUAUGGCCAAACCACCCUGAACGCGCCCGAUCUCGGAAGCUAAGCAGGAUUGGGCCUCGUUAGUACUUGGAUGGGAGAAAAUAAAGUAUACAAUUUUAUGUCAACAAAUUGACAACAUACACG